Molecule: ribosomal RNA, 117 nt
Filed under: Vibrio alginolyticus
Lineage: Bacteria; Pseudomonadati; Pseudomonadota; Gammaproteobacteria; Vibrionales; Vibrionaceae
Source: RNAcentral
CUUGGCGACCAUAGCGUUUUGGACCCACCUGAYUUCCAUGCCGAACUCAGAAGUGAAACGAAAUAGCGUCGAUGGUAGUGUGGGGCUUCCCCAUGUGAGAGUAGAACAUCGCCAGGC